GUGAAUCAUCGAAUUUUUGAACGCAAAUUGCACUCUCUUGGAAGCGGGUGAGUGUUUGAGUGUGAGACUAUAUAAAAUCGACAACGUUGUUGUUUCGCGGUGGUGUUCGUGGGGUAGUGGGUUAGGUUAAGUCCUUUUUGGUUUUAAGCGUCUUAAAAUUUUCUUUUUGGUUCUAUGAACGUUUCUAAGAGUUAUUUCUUUACAAGUUUAAGGUAUCGAUU
Molecule: unclassified non-coding RNA, 221 nt
Filed under: Glomeromycota sp.
Lineage: Eukaryota; Fungi; Glomeromycota
Description: partial internal transcribed spacer 2
Source: RNAcentral